Molecule: long non-coding RNA, 310 nt
Organism: Piliocolobus tephrosceles (Ugandan red Colobus)
Lineage: Eukaryota; Metazoa; Chordata; Mammalia; Primates; Cercopithecidae
Exons: 4
Source: RefSeq, a predicted model, not a curated record
GGUCAGGAUAACUCAGCCUGAUGUUCUUCUCACUUGGCAGGGAUUGUGCUGCAUUCUGACAUAGGUUCUGCCAUCAAACACAGAAUGCUCUGAUCCUUACAGGCAGAGGCAGCUCUUCAGCCUAUGAGACCUGAACUAGUUAUUUCCUGCUCGCCUCCUGGAAUGGCUAAUAAACAGUAAAGCUUUGCAGUUUCUGGGAAGACCAUGAAGCCCUGAGAGUAAUGAAAAGUUUCCUGAAAUUGAAGUCACUGUGGAAGAUGGGACCGUCUAGUUGCAGAAAAACAAGCUCAGGACUCCCACUGAUUCUACA